This 515-nucleotide ribosomal RNA is filed under the name uncultured bacterium. RNAcentral's name for it is "partial 16S ribosomal RNA". It matches the Rfam family "Bacterial small subunit ribosomal RNA", at positions 28 to 523 of the family's 1533-position model. The record is from RNAcentral.
GAUGAACGCUGGCGGCGUGCCUAAUACAUGCAAGUCGAGCGAAUGGAUUAAGAGCUUGCUCUUAUGAAGUUAGCGGCGGACGGGUGAGUAACACGUGGGUAACCUGCCCAUAAGACUGGGAUAACUCCGGGAAACCGGGGCUAAUACCGGAUAACAUUUUGAACCGCAUGGUUCGAAAUUGAAAGGCGGCUUCGGCUGUCACUUAUGGAUGGACCCGCGUCGCAUUAGCUAGUUGGGGAGGUAACGGCUCACCAAGGCAACGAGGCGUAGCCGACCUGAGAGGGUGAUCGGACACACUGGGACUGAGACACGGCCCAGACUCCUACGGGAGGCAGCAGUAGGGAAUCUUCCGCAAUGGACGAAAGUCUGACGGAGCAACGCCGCGUGAGUGAUGAAGGCUUUCGGGUCAUAAAACUCUGUUGUUAGGGAAGAACAAGUGCUAGUUGAAUAAGCUGGCACCUUGACGGUACCUAACCAGAAAGCCACGGCUAACUACGUGCCAGCAGCCGCGGUAA